ACAAACAGUUUUCAGAAGUUCUUAAGGCAAGAGUGACUUUCUGUGGAUUUUACUGGUCCCAGCUUUAGGUUCUUUACGACACUAACAGGACUGCAUAGAGGCUUUUUCAGCAUUGCUGUAUUGUCUCCGGCCAUGUGUGGCAAGAUCAUCAUUAGAAAUGGAAAUGACAUUUGAAAGCCAUUAGACUUCUAGGUGAUGCAUCUAAGAAAGAUUAAUCACACAAUAGAGGCAUAUGCGCUGUCAUUUUUUUCUUUUUUUAAUUGUUAAAUUGAAUUUUAUACCAAUGUUUAAACUUAAUUGGGUGUUAGCUUGAGGUGUUUUGGGGGAGUUUGUUGUAAUGGUUUUGUUGUAAAAUGUGUUUGGAACUCUGCUGAAGUGUUGCUGAAAAUCAUGGUGCUGGUAACAGACCGGAAGAGCAUCGUGU
Arvicanthis niloticus (Nile rat) is the source of this 424-nucleotide non-coding RNA. NCBI's taxonomy places the organism in Eukaryota, Metazoa, Chordata, Mammalia, Rodentia, Muridae. The record is from RefSeq and is a predicted model, not a curated record.